GAUGAACGCUGGCGGCGUGCCUAAUACAUGCAAGUCGAGCGAACAGACGAGGAGCUUGCUCCUUUGACGUUAGCGGCGGACGGGUGAGUAACACGUGGAUAACCUACCUAUAAGACUGGGAUAACUUCGGGAAACCGGAGCUAAUACCGGAUAACAUGUUGAACCGCAUGGUUCAACAGUGAAAGACGGUCUUGCUGUCACUUAUAGAUGGAUCCGCGCCGCAUUAGCUAGUUGGUAAGGUAACGGCUUACCAAGGCAACGAUGCGUAGCCGACCUGAGAGGGUGAUCGGCCACACUGGAACUGAGACACGGUCCAGACUCCUACGGGAGGCAGCAGUAGGGAAUCUUCCGCAAUGGGCGAAAGCCUGACGGAGCAACGCCGCGUGAGUGAAGAAGGUCUUCGGAUCGUAAAACUCUGUUAUUAGGGAAGAACAAAUGUGUAAGUAGCUAUGCACGUCUUGACGGUACCUAAUCAGAAAGCCACGGCUAACUACGUG
RNAcentral lists this ribosomal RNA (497 nucleotides) under uncultured bacterium. Its description in RNAcentral is "partial 16S ribosomal RNA". It matches the Rfam family "Bacterial small subunit ribosomal RNA", at positions 28 to 507 of the family's 1533-position model. The record is from RNAcentral.